RNAcentral lists this ribosomal RNA (257 nucleotides) under uncultured prokaryote. Its description in RNAcentral is "partial 16S ribosomal RNA". It matches the Rfam family "Bacterial small subunit ribosomal RNA", at positions 524 to 780 of the family's 1533-position model. The record is from RNAcentral.
UACGUAGGGGGCGAGCGUUAUCCGGAUUUAUUGGGUUUAAAGGGUGCGUAGGCUGGUAAUUAAGUCAGUGGUGAAAUACUCCGGCUCAACCGGGGGGCUGCCGUUGAUACUGGUUACCUUGAGUUUAGAUGAUGUGGGCGGAAUGUGUCAUGUAGCGGUGAAAUGCAUAGAGAUGACACAGAACACCGAUAGCGAAGGCAGCUCACAAAGCUAUUACUGACGCUGAUGCACGAAAGCGUGGGGAUCAAACAGGAUUA